This is an RNA transcript of Zophobas morio, 885 nucleotides long. RefSeq lists it as uncharacterized. NCBI's taxonomy places the organism in Eukaryota, Metazoa, Arthropoda, Insecta, Coleoptera, Tenebrionidae. The transcript is spliced from 8 exons. The record is from RefSeq and is a predicted model, not a curated record.
UUACACUGUAGUCGGUGCCUGGCGUUUGGUGGACUCAUCUUUUUGUUUACGUUACGAAGUCUUUAUAACUUUGCUAAAAAUUGUAUAUCUGUUAACCAUUUGUGAUUUUAAUUUAAACAAACUUUCAAGUGUACGAUUUUUUGAGUGAAGAUGAAUUUCAACUUAACUCAGAAAGAAGACUCUCACCCUCUUUACCAAUCUCAAAUUAAUGGUUACGGUACCGCUCUUCUCUCACCAGACCAAUCUCCCUAUGUCAUGCCUUCCUCUGCAAAUAACUCUUCUCUUCAGAAUGCGAAAUGGAAUUUUUUCCCAAGCAUACUUUCUCUCAAUGUACCUGCCUCCUUUAUUAACACUCAACCAUGGACACCUGAUAGUCUUAGUUUAGGGACUCCUAGCUUUUACUCUGAUGCAAAUGUGAUUUUCGAAUCAACCAAGCGGCUAUCAUCAACUUUUUCUGAAAGCUCAAAUGAAGUUUAUAGGAAAAAUAAUCCUACAAAUCCAUUAAAAAAUCGAACUCAAAUUAAUAGAUUGGGAGGAACAGCCCAGUCUAACUUGGUUGUCCUUUUUAUAUUUAUAAACUAUUAUUGCCAUCCCGCUCGCCAAUACAAAACUCUUGCUAUAUUAGUAAAAAUGAACUUCUUUCACUCAAAGAUAUUAGGUUCUGCUUUCUAUGUGAAACUACUGACACACCUCAAUGGCGUCGAGGGCCAGAUGGGCGGGUCACCUUAUGCAAUGCGUGCGGAAUACGCUAUGGAAAAUGUAAAAAGGAAGCUGAAUGUUUUGCAGAGAAAAGCCUGAAAGCGGGGAAGAGGCAUAAUUUCGCAUGUGACAAAGAUAGACCUUCUCAAAGCUAAAAGGAUAAUUUAAUAAAAUUUUGUAUAUUUA